AGAACGAACGCUGGCGGCAUGCCUAACACAUGCAAGUCGAACGAGAUCUUCGGAUCUAGUGGCGCACGGGUGCGUAACGCGUGGGAAUCUACCCUUGGGUUCGGAAUAACAGUUGGAAACGACUGCUAAUACCGGAUGAUGACGUAAGUCCAAAGAUUUAUCGCCCAAGGAUGAGCCCGCGUAGGAUUAGCUAGUUGGUGAGGUAAAGGCUCACCAAGGCGACGAUCCUUAGCUGGUCUGAGAGGAUGACCAGCCACACUGGGACUGAGACACGGCCCAGACUCCUACGGAGGCAGCAGUGGGGAAUAUUGGACAAUGGGCGAAAGCCUGAUCCAGCAAUGCCGCGUGAGUGAUGAAGGCCGUUAGGGUUGUAAAGCUUCCGUUUUUACCCGGUGAUGAUAAUGAACAGUAGCGGAGAAGUAAGCUCCGGCUAACUCCGUGCCAGCAGCCGC
Molecule: ribosomal RNA, 452 nt
Filed under: uncultured soil bacterium
Lineage: Bacteria
Description: bacterial SSU rRNA
Rfam family: Bacterial small subunit ribosomal RNA
Source: RNAcentral